Molecule: transfer RNA, 70 nt
Filed under: Dysomma anguillare (shortbelly eel)
Lineage: Eukaryota; Metazoa; Chordata; Actinopteri; Anguilliformes; Synaphobranchidae
Also listed under: 2 other names
Description: tRNA-Arg
Rfam family: tRNA
About the family: Transfer RNA (tRNA) molecules are approximately 80 nucleotides in length. Their secondary structure includes four short double-helical elements and three loops (D, anti-codon, and T loops).
Source: RNAcentral
AGACGAUUAGUCCAAAGAAAGACAGCUGAUUUCGGCUCAACAGAACGUGGUUCAACUCCACGAUCGUCUU